Chenopodium quinoa (quinoa) is the source of this 1683-nucleotide long non-coding RNA. RefSeq lists it as uncharacterized. The record is from RefSeq and is a predicted model, not a curated record. The transcript is spliced from 5 exons. NCBI's taxonomy places the organism in Eukaryota, Viridiplantae, Streptophyta, Magnoliopsida, Caryophyllales, Amaranthaceae.
UUCUUACACUGCGUUUACUUCUCUGGAGGAAGUUUAAUCCUGUUUGCAGAUAUCAAAUGUGUUAGAUGUUUUCUAAUUUGCAUGCUAUUUCCCCUUUGCUGCAUAAAAUACAGUAAGGAUGAUCGUAGAUUUGCCCUUCUACAAGGAUUGUGUUCUUAUUUCUGAAGUUAUUAAUAUUAUUGGGAUGGAUUAUUGCUGUUCACGGACGGUGAACUAAAACCAAAACUGAAACUACACCAAAAGGACAUGUAAAGUUAGGACUGAAAUGGAAGUUGAUGGGAAAAAAUGUUUACUUUUUCUUGACUACAGCAGCAAGUAUGCCCUACCAAGUUAGAUCAUUCUCCAGCUUCUUUUUCCUCUCGUUUAUGAUAGAGAUGUAGUUUCUGCCUCCAAGAAGAGGGGAAAUAUCGCGGUCAUUCUUUGUCCUUCCUCCACCAGAACCUUCAAGAAUGCUAUGUCGUUGAAGCAAAUGCAAAAUCUCCUUUAUUGAUGGCCUAAAAGAAGCAGCUUGUAUGAUGUGAUUCCUUCAGAAAAAUACCAAGAUAAUCUCAGUAGUGUCUAGUAGAGUUGAUGCUGCAGUCUGCCCCUUAGCUACUUAAAAUUCAGAGUAAGGAUGAUUCAAGAUUUUCCAUUCUAUAAGGGUUAUGCUCCUCAUGCUUCAUUCCUAUGCGAAGAUGACGGUGACCUACAAUUCAACCCAAAACUAUGCCGAAAAGGACAUGUAAGGUGUGUAUUGAGGAGGAAGCUGAUAGGAAAUUUGGUUUAUCUACAUUCAGUUCCUUUGUCUUGACUACAUCAGCAAGGAUGCCCUACCAAGUUUGAUCAUUCUCCAGCUUCUUUUCCCUCUUUUAUGGUAAAUACUUGCUGUUUGAUCUUUACGUUUUGUUGAUUGCUACUUGAUAGCCAAACAAUGUCGUAUAAUAGGUGGUGAUUGUUAAAUUGAGUGGACGUGAGACACAAGAUGAGACGUAAUAGAGAUAAACGAUCUAUCCCAACCGGUUGACUGACUGGCAAGUCUUCCCUCUAUUCUUAAUCGUUGUCCUUUUAAUUUGGUUCACAUAAUUUUACGCGUUGUUGUUUUCUUUGUUCUUUGCAAUCAUUGAUUUGUGAGAAAAAAAUUGUAUGAUUUGAGAUAGAAAAUUUCACCUAUGUGGUCGUAAUUUGCAAGUUAAUGUGAAAGUCACCCUGUAUAGCUGUAAAAAGAUCUAUACUAGUCUGGAACAAAAUUAGGCUAAUACUUAACAGUACCACUCAUAAGUCAAUAUUCAAAACCGUAGGAAAGACUGUUACACACAAAUGCAAUACAAAUACAACAAGAGAUGUCAUUAACAGUUUUUGCAUCUUGGAAAGUAUUGCACUUUGCACACGUUCAAAACUGUGUAUCUUGGGGAACUUGCAAGCUCCCCUACAGCAAAAUUGGCUUCGCCUGACCGGUAGCUUCAUCUGACAUCAUGGAUGUUUUCUCAAACAGGCUCCUCUCAAGACUCAAGAGGAGCUUAUGAGAUUUUUUGCGGCAUUAGUUCCUGAAUUUACGUCAAGAACUUAGUUUGUAAACUUUGGUUAAUGUAGUUAUCUUUAACAUAAUUAUGAAAUGUUGGCCUGCUGCACCUUCUGACUUCGAUGUGUAAUAAGCAAGUGGAAGAUAAAUGUGAUGGAAAAUAUGGAGUUAAAAUGGAACGGCAU